AAAGCCCUGUCCUCAUAGCCACGGGAAGAACAUGUGGGCAGAGGUGUCACUGUGACGCUUGCAUCAUCAAAGGAGCCUGGUGACGUCAGCACCAACAGAAGACUCCAGAGUUAGGAGAGCCGUAGAUGGCAGCUGGAUCGUGGCGUGACACAGACCCUAAGAUAUGAUGCUUGGAAGAAACUCAUCCUCAGCAGACGUCUUUGGCUGUCUCUUUACAUCACUCUAACCCAAGCCCUGCAGUGGAGAGAUUUAUUGCUUUUCUUUUAUGCAAUCAAGUCAGACUUCGAUCUGAACACGGGGAGAAACAGAGUGUGUGUGCAGCUGGCCCACAGGAGCAGUCAGCCCCAGGCACUCGAAGGAGGACAGAGGCUUCCCUGACUCAAGUUGCUGUCUCCUGACAGCUGAACAUUCUAGAAGCAACCUCUAAGGAGAGAAUGAAUUUGAAAAGAAUGCUGUUACU
Molecule: long non-coding RNA, 460 nt
Organism: Cebus imitator (Panamanian white-faced capuchin)
Lineage: Eukaryota; Metazoa; Chordata; Mammalia; Primates; Cebidae
Exons: 3
Source: RefSeq, a predicted model, not a curated record